This 253-nucleotide ribosomal RNA is filed under the name uncultured bacterium. Its description in RNAcentral is "partial 16S ribosomal RNA". It matches the Rfam family "Bacterial small subunit ribosomal RNA", at positions 524 to 776 of the family's 1533-position model. The record is from RNAcentral.
UACGUAGGAUGCAAGCGUUGUCCGGAAUUAUUGGGCGUAAAGGGCUCGUAGGCGGUUUGUCGCGUCGGGAGUGAAAACUCAGGGCUUAACCCUGAGCCUGCUUCCGAUACGGGCAGACUAGAGGUAUGCAGGGGAGAAUGGAAUUCCUGGUGUAGCGGUGAAAUGCGCAGAUAUCAGGAGGAACACCGGUGGCGAAGGCGGUUCUCUGGGCAUUACCUGACGCUGAGGAGCGAAAGUGUGGGGAGCGAACAGG